AACGAACGCUGGCGGCAUGCCUAACACAUGCAAGUCGAACGAGAUCUUCGGGUCUAGUGGCGCACGGGUGCGUAACGCGUGGGAAUCUGCCCUUUGGUUCGGAAUAACAGUUGGAAACGACUGCUAAUACCGGAUGAUGACGAAAGUCCAAAGAUUUAUCGCCAGAGGAUGAGCCCGCGUAGGAUUAGCUAGUUGGUGUGGUAAAGGCGCACCAAGGCGAUGAUCCUUAGCUGGUCUGAGAGGAUGAUCAGCCACACUGGGACUGAGACACGGCCCAGACUCCUACGGGAGGCAGCAGUGGGGAAUAUUGGACAAUGGGCGAAAGCCUGAUCCAGCAAUGCCGCGUGAGUGAUGAAGGCCUUAGGGUUGUAAAGCUCUUUUACCCGGGAUGAUAAUGACAGUACCGGGAGAAUAAGCUCCGGCUAACUCCGUGCCAGCCGCCGCCAGUA
Molecule: ribosomal RNA, 449 nt
Filed under: uncultured bacterium
Lineage: Bacteria
Description: partial 16S ribosomal RNA
Rfam family: Bacterial small subunit ribosomal RNA
Source: RNAcentral